UACGUAGGGGGCGAGCGUUGUCCGGAAUGACUGGGCGUAAAGGGCGCGUAGGCGGCUGUGUAAGUUAGGAGUGAAAUUCCAGUUUUUAAGAUUGGAACUGCUUUUAAUACUGCAUGGCUUGAGUGCAGAAGAGGUAAGAGGAAUUCCCAGUGUAGCGGUGAAAUGCGUAGAGAUUGGGAAGAACACCAGUGGCGAAGGCGGCUUAAUGGGCUGUAACUGACGCUGAGGCGCGAAAGCGUGGGGAGCGAAC
RNAcentral lists this ribosomal RNA (250 nucleotides) under uncultured prokaryote. Its description in RNAcentral is "partial 16S ribosomal RNA". It matches the Rfam family "Bacterial small subunit ribosomal RNA", at positions 524 to 773 of the family's 1533-position model. The record is from RNAcentral.